Molecule: ribosomal RNA, 816 nt
Filed under: uncultured bacterium
Lineage: Bacteria
Description: bacterial SSU rRNA
Rfam family: Bacterial small subunit ribosomal RNA
Source: RNAcentral
AGAGUUUGAUCAUGGCUCAGGAUGAACGCUGGCGGCGUGCCUAACACAUGCAAGUCGAGCGAUCUUCUUCGGAAGAGAGCGGCGGACGGGUGAGUAACGCGUGGGUAACCUGCCUUAUACACAUGGAUAACAUACCGAAAGGUAUGCUAAUACAAGAUGAUAUAAGAGAUUCGCAUGGAUUUCUUAUCAAAGCUCCGGCGGUAUGAGAUGGACCCGCGUCUGAUUAGCUAGUUGGUAAGGUAACGGCUUACCAAGGCGACGAUCAGUAGCCGACCUGAGAGGGUGAUCGGCCACAUUGGAACUGAGACACGGUCCAAACUCCUACGGGAGGCAGCAGUGGGGAAUAUUGCACAAUGGGCGAAAGCCUGAUGCAGCAACGCCGCGUGAGCGAUGAAGGCCUUCGGGUCGUAAAGCUCUGUCCUCAAGGAAGAUAAUGACGGUACUUGAGGAGGAAGCCCCGGCUAACUACGUGCCAGCAGCCGCGGUAAUACGUAGGGGGCUAGCGUUAUCCGGAUUUACUGGGCGUAAAGGGUGCGUAGGUGGUUUCUUAAGUCAGGAGUGAAAGGCUACGGCUCAACCGUAGUAAGCUCUUGAAACUGGGAAACUUGAGUACAGGAGAGGAAAGUGGAAUUCCUAGUGUAGCGGUGAAAUGCGUAGAUAUUAGGAGGAACACCAGUAGCGAAGGCGGCUUUCUGGACUGUAACUGACACUGAGGCACGAAAGCGUGGGGAGCAAACAGGAUUAGAUACCCUGGUAGUCCACGCCGUAAACGAUGAGUACUAGGUGUCGGGGGUUACCCCCCUCGGUGCCGCAGCU